Molecule: ribosomal RNA, 833 nt
Filed under: Ophiostomataceae sp. TR25
Lineage: Eukaryota; Fungi; Ascomycota; Sordariomycetes; Ophiostomatales; Ophiostomataceae
Description: SSU rRNA
Rfam family: Eukaryotic small subunit ribosomal RNA
Source: RNAcentral
UUGUACCGCGAAACUGCGAAUGGCUCAUUAAAUCAGUUAUCGUCUAUUUGAUAGUACCUUACUACUUGGAUAACCGUGGUAAUUCUAGAGCUAAUACAUGCUGAAAACCCCGACUUCGGAAGGGAUGUAUUUAUUAGAUUAAAAACCAAUGCCCUUCGGGGCUCCCUGGUGAUUCAUAAUAACUGGUCGAAUCGCACGGCCUUGCGCCGGCGAUGGUUCAUUCAAAUUUCUGCCCUAUCAACUUUCGACGGCUGGGUCUUGGCCAGCCGUGGUGACAACGGGUAACGGAGGGUUAGGGCUCGACCCCGGAGAAGGAGCCUGAGAAACGGCUACUACAUCUAAGGAAGGCAGCAGGCGCGCAAAUUACCCAAUCCCGACGCGGGGAGGUAGUGACAAUAAAUACUGAUACAGGGCUCUUUAGGGUCUUGUAAUUGGAAUGAGUACAGUUUAAUUCCCUUAACGAGGAACAAUUGGAGGGCAAGUCUGGUGCCAGCAGCCGCGGUAAUUCCAGCUCCAAUAGCGUAUAUUAAAGUUGUUGCAGUUAAAAAGCUCGUAGUUGAACCUUGGGCCUGGCUGGCCGGUCCGCCUCACCGCGUGCACUGGUCCGGCCGGGCCUUUCCCUCUGGGGAGCCGCAUGCCCUUCACUGGGCGUGUCGGGGAACCAGGACGUUUACUUUGAAAAAAUUAGAGUGUUCAAAGCAGGCUUAUGCUCGGAUACAUUAGCAUGGAAUAAUGGAAUAGGACGUGCGGUUCUAUUUUGUUGGUUUCUAGGACCGCCGUAAUGAUUAAUAGGGACAGUCGGGGGCAUCAGUAUUCAAUUGUCAGAGGUGAAA